Molecule: ribosomal RNA, 422 nt
Filed under: uncultured archaeon
Lineage: Archaea
Description: bacterial SSU rRNA
Rfam family: Archaeal small subunit ribosomal RNA
Source: RNAcentral
GACCUCUGCAAUAGGCGAAAGCUUGACAGGGUUACUCUGAGUGAUUUCCGUUAAGGGGAUCUUUUGGCACCUUGGUGCAGAAUAAGGGGUGGCAAGCUGGUGUCAGCCGCCGCGGUAGUACCAGCACCCCGAGUGGUCGGGACGUUUAUUGGGCCUAAAGCAUCCGUAGCCGGUUCUACAAGUCUUCCGUUAAAUCCACCUGCUCAACAGUUGGGCUGCGGAGGAUACUAUAGAGCUAGGAGGCGGGAGGGGCAAGCGGUACUUAGUGGGUAGGGGUAAAAUCCGUUGAUCCAUUGAAGACCACCAGUGGCGAAGGCGGCUUGCCAGAACGCCUCGACGGUGAGGGAUGAAAGCUGGGGGAGCAAACCGGAUUAGAUACCCGGGUAGUCCCAGCUGUAAACGAUGCAGACUCGGUGAUGAAC